AAGAGGGUUAAGUGCACGUGGUGCAAAACUCAAGGACCUGCAUAAGGUCUCCAGUUCGAGCCCUUGGGUCCCCACCUGCAGGUCAACUAGGAAUAGCAAGGGAGAAUACCUGAGGCUGAAACAAGACAGGACUGGAACAACUUUAGGAACCCACCAAACCACCAGUUUUGGGACUUUGUUAGGAAGUGACCCACCUGGAAUGGAAUUUGAGAAUACUAUGAAGAGAAAGAUCUCACCCAAGUAAUGAAGCUGAAGGG
Erinaceus europaeus (western European hedgehog) is the source of this 257-nucleotide long non-coding RNA. RefSeq lists it as uncharacterized. The transcript has 3 exons. The record is from RefSeq and is a predicted model, not a curated record. NCBI's taxonomy places the organism in Eukaryota, Metazoa, Chordata, Mammalia, Eulipotyphla, Erinaceidae.